This 716-nucleotide ribosomal RNA is filed under the name Coturnix coturnix (Common quail). RNAcentral describes it as "partial 12S ribosomal RNA". It matches the Rfam family "Bacterial small subunit ribosomal RNA", at positions 495 to 1509 of the family's 1533-position model. Lineage: Eukaryota; Metazoa; Chordata; Aves; Galliformes; Phasianidae. The record is from RNAcentral.
GGUAAAUCUCGUGCCAGCCACCGCGGUCACACAAGAAGCCCAAAUCAAUAGCCAUCCGGCGUAAAGAGUGGCCACAUGUUAUCUUCAUUAACUAAGAUCAAAAUGGAACCAAGCUGUCAUAAGCCCAGGAUCCACCUAAGCCCAACAUAAAAACCAUCUUAGCCACAUGAUCAAUUUCAAUCCACGAAAGCCAGGGCACAAACUGGGAUUAGAUACCCCACUAUGCCUAGCCCUAAAUCUAGAUACCCACAUACUUAUGUAUCCGCCUGAGAACUACGAGCACAAACGCUUAAAACUCUAAGGACUUGGCGGUGCCCCAAACCCACCUAGAGGAGCCUGUUCUAUAACCGAUAAUCCACGAUCUACCCAACCACCCCUUGCCAACACAGCCUACAUACCGCCGUCGCCAGCCCACCUUAAUGAAAGAACAACAGUGAGCUCAAUAGCCGCCACUAAUAAGACAGGUCAAGGUAUAGCCUAUGGGAUGGAAGAAAUGGGCUACAUUUUCUAAAAUAGAACAAACGAAAAAGGACAUGAAACCUGGUCCUUGGAAGGAGGAUUUAGCAGUAAAAUGGGAUCACUUUGCCCACUUUAAGAUGGCCCUGAGGCACGUACAUACCGCCCGUCACCCUCUUCAAAAGCUACUAAUACCGAUAAAUAACACCCAACCAUUAAGCCAAAGACGAGGUAAGUCGUAACAAGGUAAGCAUACUGGA